CGGGGCAGAUAGCGGGUACAAUUUUAUCCAGUAGGUCGGGUUGCGGAUAGACACUAUCCGUACCCGACCAGUUGUCAUCCCUACUUAUCUGAGUUUAUCUCUCUUCUUCCAAUAUCUUGUCAAAUCUUCUUCUGUAAAGUCCAAGUCCAAGUAGUGUGAGUACUUCUCAAAGGCACUAUGACACUAAAGUCACUUUUCAG
Molecule: long non-coding RNA, 200 nt
Filed under: Vigna radiata
Lineage: Eukaryota; Viridiplantae; Streptophyta; Magnoliopsida; Fabales; Fabaceae
Description: long non-coding RNA (VRAD_LNC014530)
Source: RNAcentral